UAGCCGGUUUAGUAAGUCCCUGGUAAAACCGGGCAGCUUAACUGUCCGUAUGCUAGGAAUACUGCUAUGCUAGAGGGCGGGAGAGGUCCGAGGUACUACAGGGGUAGGGGUGAAAUCUUAUAAUCCUUGUAGGACCACCAGUGGCGAAAGCGUCAGACUGGAACGCGCCUGACGGUGAGGGACGAAAGCCAGGGGAGCGAACCGGAUUAGAUACCCGGGUAGUCCUGGCCGUAAACGAUGCAUACUAGGCAAUGGUGCGGCCAUGAGCCGCAUCAGUACCGUAGGGAAACCGUUAAGUGUGCCGCCUGGGAAGUACGGUCGCAAGGCUAAAACUUAAAGGAAUUGGCGGGGGAGCACCACAAGGGGUGAAGCCUGCGGUUCAAUUGGACUCAACGCCGGGAAACUUACCAGGGGAGACAGCAGAAUGACAGUCAGGUUGACGACCUUACUCGACGAGCUGAGUGGAGGUGCAUGGCCGUCGCCAGUUCGUGCUGUGAGGUAUCCGGUUAAGUCAGGCAACGAACGAGAUCCGCGCCUUUAUUUGCCACCAAGAAGUUACGACUUCGUUGG
Molecule: ribosomal RNA, 570 nt
Filed under: uncultured crenarchaeote
Lineage: Archaea; Thermoproteati; Thermoproteota
Description: bacterial SSU rRNA
Rfam family: Archaeal small subunit ribosomal RNA
Source: RNAcentral